This 292-nucleotide ribosomal RNA is filed under the name Salmonella enterica. Its description in RNAcentral is "partial 23S ribosomal RNA". It matches the Rfam family "Bacterial large subunit ribosomal RNA", at positions 1 to 289 of the family's 2925-position model. Lineage: Bacteria; Pseudomonadati; Pseudomonadota; Gammaproteobacteria; Enterobacterales; Enterobacteriaceae. The record is from RNAcentral.
GGUUAAGCGACUAAGCGUACACGGUGGAUGCCCUGGCAGUCAGAGGCGAUGAAGGACGUGCUAAUCUGCGAUAAGCGCCGGUAAGGUGAUAUGAACCGUUAUAACCGGCGAUUUCCGAAUGGGGAAACCCAGUGUGACUCGUCACACUAUCAUUAACUGAAUCCAUAGGUUAAUGAGGCGAACCGGGGGAACUGAAACAUCUAAGUACCCCGAGGAAAAGAAAUCAACCGAGAUUCCCCCAGUAGCGGCGAGCGAACGGGGAGGAGCCCAGAGCCUGAAUCAGCAUGUGUGU